Motacilla alba alba is the source of this 2301-nucleotide long non-coding RNA. RefSeq lists it as uncharacterized. Lineage: Eukaryota; Metazoa; Chordata; Aves; Passeriformes; Motacillidae. The transcript has 2 exons. The record is from RefSeq and is a predicted model, not a curated record.
UUGGCUGGCAUUCCUCAGGCAGGGAAUGGCUGAAAGACAAAACACACCCCACUGCUGGGAGCCCGAGUGCAGCGUGUGGGAAGGCAACACUCUUCACCCCGGGAAUUCUGUCCUACCCGCUAUGCGAGAAUUAAAUUUAAAGGCUUCCAGGAUGAAAGGACAUAGUCUCAAGAUGUGCCCAGGGAAAGUUUAGGUUGUGAGACUUUUGGUCGGAGGAAUUACUUCACCAAAAGAGUGUUUAGACAUUGGAACGGGCCGCCCUUGGAGGUGGCGGAGUCGCCAUCCCUGGAGGUGUUUAAAGAACACUGGACGCGGCACUCAGUGCCAUGGUCUAUUGCCACGGUGGUGUUCCGUCACAGGAGGGACUCGGAGGUCUUUCCCAACAUCACUGUCUCCGUGUGCCCACGCGCAGCCCUCACGCACAACAUGGACCCCCCGCUGCCAUUUUGCGGCCGCCGCUCCCCACGUGCCCCGGACACGGGGGACGGCCCCGCCCGCGCCCCGACGUCACGCAAGGCGCAUGCGCCGAGCGGAGGCGGGAGGGGGCGCCGCCGCCCGAGGCCGCGGGGCGGGUCAGCCGGAAGCCGCCGAGCCCCGCGCAGGAAGUGGCCCCCGCGCGCACGCCGCGACCAGCGGCCCCCGGCUGCGGCCGCCCGCGCGGCCCUUUGUGACUCAUGUGACUGACGCGCGCGGCGCUGACCAAUGGCAGCGGCUCCUCCCUUGCCCGCCUGGCCCCGCCUCCUCUCCGCCCUCACGGCCAAUCGGGAGGGCAAGUUCGCCUCCGUCGCCAUCUCCUCCCUGAUGGAUGUGUGCGCAACCCAAUGAAACCCUUAGCCCCGCCCCCGCCACCCGCCAAUGGGCGCCGCGCAAUGCGGCGCUGGCGGGCCCGGGGCAGCCAGGGAGGGCCCGGCCGGACGCCCCCUCCCCGGCGGAGUGGCCGUGGCAGCCGCCGGCCGCGCUCCUGCGCCGGGGGCAGCCGCCCCGCCCUCUCCCCCGCCACCGUGAGGGGCUCCGGCCGCCCCCGGCCCCGGGCAGCCCCGCCGCCCGCCACACGUUCCCUGGCUGGAUGCGACACGGGGCGGGGAGGAGCCGCCCGGCCGCUGCGUGCGGGAGCUCUGCGCGCUCUUAAGGUGGCCCGAGAGCCCGACGGGAGCGGGAGCGGGAUAGCCGGGGGUGUCCCCGGUGGGGCGGAGGAGGGGCGCGGCAGCGGCAGCUGCCUGGUGUGAGGGCGGCGUGCGGGGGCGGCUGCUGGAGAAUGCCCGCUCGGCCGUCAGGGUGGGGGAGCCGGGCGGAGGUUUGUACCGGGAGAUAAGAGCCUGUCAGAUGAGCAUUCCCGCUGCAGAGACGGGGAGCGGCGGCUGGAGACAGUCUGUGCCUUCCUGUGGGUCCGAGGCUGGGCCAGCAAACACGUCCCUCGACGAUUGUCCAACCUUUGAAACUUUGGAGCUCCCAGCAGGUGCGGUUUGCUCUGGUGGAGAUAUCAGAAUCAGAAUCUGAGGUGGCAAAAGACCUCUGAGAACAUCGAGUUGAACCUUUGACUGAACACCACCGUAGCAACUAGACCAUGGCAAUGAGUGCCACAUCCAGUCUUUCCUUAAACACUUCCAAGGACACAGGCUGCACCACCUCCCUGGCAGCCCAUUCCAAUGUCUAAUCACAAUGUCAAUGUCUAAUUUUCUGUGAAGAAAUGCCUCCUGAAGUCCAACCUAAACCUCCCCUGACACAGCCUGAGGCUAUGUCCUCCUGUCCUGUCACUUGUUACCUGGGAGAAGAGGCUGACCCCCUCCUGGCUGCCCCCUCCUUUCGGGUGGUUGUAGAGUGAGAGGGUUACCUCUGAGUUUCUUCUACAGGCUAAACAAUCCCCAUUCCCUCAGUUAUUCUUGUACUUGUGUGCAAGUACAUAAAGGUUUUCCUGGCUAAGAAGGGUUUUUUUAAAAAAAAAUCUAAGCCAAGCACCUAACCUGCCCAGGGAGAAAAACAUGUUAGGAUACCUGCAUGUUACAUAGGAUUUCUGAGAUGCCUGUUUAUUACUAGUUGCAAAUGGAAGGAACAGUCCUUCAGCCAGGAUGCAGAAGAGAAUUCCUUCCCAAAUACUGAGACUUUCGGUGUCCCAACUGCCAAAAACCAAAGCCACCUCCUACACCUUCCUGGAUGCGAGAAGCCCCAACUGCCCGCUACCCAUCUGUCAAAAUUUAUAGAUCUCCUUAGACAAAUAUUAACAAUUCAGUCAUGCGCAAAGCCUGUGGCAUAUUGAAAAAAUUGGGAGAAGGAUAAAAUACAUUGAAUGUAAUGUAAAAAUAA